CCCCAUUGGAACGCAUUGAAAAUCAUAGUAAAUACAUAGGGUCCUGUUCAAUAAAUAAUUUUGAUAGCCACCUUGGGACUUCUGGUUCAUGUUAGGCAUUCAUUUUGAAGUGUCUAAGUACAAUCUCAGUGCCUCAUGACCGGCAUUCCGUUGCAAAAUUUUGUUUUUAUUGACAACAGGGUCAGUCUGUCUACUUCCGGGAAAGAAUAAAGGCUAGAAUUUAGGCAAUUUACUCUAUGUACUGACGCCAGAUUACAUUUAAAUCAAUCAAAAUUUUUACAGAAAUUCAAACUAGAAAGCCUACCCUUUCAAAUAAAUCUACAUUCAGUUACAGAACUAGUGAAAUAAUAACACUACACAAUUUAUAACAAAAGUUAUAUAUUUUUUUUAAGAACUACAUUCGUGGGUACCGGACUGGUUGCCCUAACUGGGAUCCUAUUCCUGUCAGACUUUAUUUUUUUUCCCAGACUUAAAACUGCACUUUUAAAAUAAAGAUAUACAUCUCAGUAGUU
This 512-nucleotide long non-coding RNA is filed under the name Mytilus galloprovincialis (Mediterranean mussel). The record is from RNAcentral. Lineage: Eukaryota; Metazoa; Mollusca; Bivalvia; Mytilida; Mytilidae.